CCAUCCAAUAUCUGACUGAGCAU
Molecule: unclassified non-coding RNA, 23 nt
Filed under: Mus musculus (house mouse)
Lineage: Eukaryota; Metazoa; Chordata; Mammalia; Rodentia; Muridae
Description: oocyte_clustered_small_RNA7457
Source: RNAcentral